RNAcentral lists this long non-coding RNA (338 nucleotides) under Homo sapiens (human). RNAcentral's name for it is "HSALNT0176201". Lineage: Eukaryota; Metazoa; Chordata; Mammalia; Primates; Hominidae. The record is from RNAcentral.
ACUUGGGGCCCUUCAGCUUCCCUUCUGGACCUUCAAGGCUCACAUCUGGGACUUCAACAUCCACCUUGGGUCCUGAGACAUCAACGUCAGCCUUGGGCAAGCUCACAUCUGGGACUUCAACAUCCACCUUGGGUCCUGAGACAUCAAUGUCAGCCUUGGGCAGGUUCACAUCCACUUCUCGGCCCUCUCCUUUGAAGCCAGGCAUGCUAAACUUGGGCAUUUUCAUCUUGGGCAUCUUCAGGUGCCAGUCUGGGCCUUGAACCUCCACAUCUGGGACAUCAAUGUCCAUUUUGGCACUUUUAAGUUCAACAUCAGGAACUUUAAUCUCACUUUCAACC